This 76-nucleotide transfer RNA is filed under the name Planctomycetota bacterium. RNAcentral describes it as "Planctomycetes bacterium tRNA-Cys". It matches the Rfam family "tRNA". Rfam says of the family: Transfer RNA (tRNA) molecules are approximately 80 nucleotides in length. The record is from RNAcentral. Lineage: Bacteria; Pseudomonadati; Planctomycetota.
GGCGGUGUAGCCAAGCUGGUAAGGCGCCUGGUUGCAACCCAGGAAAUCAUGGGUUCGAGUCCCAUCACCGCCUCCG